GGAGAGGUGACAGAGUGGUCGAAUGUGACGGUCUCGAAAACCGUUGUGCGCCUAAAUCGCACCGUGGGUCCGAAUCCCACCCUCUCCG
This 88-nucleotide transfer RNA is filed under the name Holosporaceae bacterium. Its description in RNAcentral is "tRNA-Ser". It matches the Rfam family "tRNA". From Rfam's summary of the family: Transfer RNA (tRNA) molecules are approximately 80 nucleotides in length. Lineage: Bacteria; Pseudomonadati; Pseudomonadota; Alphaproteobacteria; Holosporales; Holosporaceae. The record is from RNAcentral.